AUACGUAGGGGGCGAGCGUUGUCCGGAAUGAUUGGGCGUAAAGGGCGCGUAGGCGGCGCGGUAAGUCUGGAGUGAAAGUCCUGCUUUCAAGGUGGGAAUUGCUUUGGAUACUGCCGCGCUUGAGUGCAGGAGAGGUUAUCGGAAUUCCCGGUGUAGCGGUGAAAUGCGUAGAGAUCGGGAGGAACACCAGUGGCGAAGGCGGGUAACUGGACUGCAACUGACGCUGAGGCGCGAAAGUGUGGGGAGCAAACAGGAUUAGAUACCCUGGUAGUCCACACUGUAAACGAUGAAUGCUAGGUGUGGGGGGACUGACCCCCUCCGUGCCGCAGUUAACACAAUAAGUAUUCCACCUGGGAAGUACGAUCGCAAGAUUGAAACUCAAAGGAAUUGACGGGG
This 396-nucleotide ribosomal RNA is filed under the name uncultured bacterium. RNAcentral's name for it is "partial 16S ribosomal RNA". It matches the Rfam family "Bacterial small subunit ribosomal RNA", at positions 523 to 918 of the family's 1533-position model. The record is from RNAcentral.